Molecule: long non-coding RNA, 506 nt
Organism: Cryptotermes secundus
Lineage: Eukaryota; Metazoa; Arthropoda; Insecta; Blattodea; Kalotermitidae
Exons: 2
Source: RefSeq, a predicted model, not a curated record
CCUCACAUUCGUGCGUCCAUGUCACAUUUCCGAAAGAAUUCAACGAACUUAAGAGGAACCGGGCAUGAAGAAUGUAAACAACCCGCAGUGGGCCCAGAGUUCCCUUCUUGGUGCAUACAAUAUGGGAUGUACUAUUCGCCAAAUAUCAUCGGUGCCAUCAAAUUGAAAAAGCUGAGAUGGGUGGAAAAUGUAGCACGCAAGGGGAAGUGACAAUCAUUCCAAAUUUCUGUCAGAACACAUUGUGAGAAAAAAACCAAUUGUGAGACGUUACCUUAGAUAGGAGAAUAGUAGAAAGUGUAUCACAAAGUCAGAUGAGGAUUGGAAUGAACUGCCUUAGGAUCGCUCCAUUGGCGAAGUGCUGUGAACUGGAAUAGUGAAUCUGGAGUGGAACGUGUGUCUACAGCCAAGUAAACACCAGUCCUUACGUGACAAUGAACUCAUCCGCGCAGCACAGCACGCCUGCUCAGUCCAGCCAGAGCCUGAUUCAGACUUCACCACACCCGAAG